RNAcentral lists this transfer RNA (72 nucleotides) under Parambassis ranga (Indian glassy fish). RNAcentral's name for it is "Pseudambassis ranga (Indian glassy fish) tRNA". It matches the Rfam family "tRNA". Rfam says of the family: Transfer RNA (tRNA) molecules are approximately 80 nucleotides in length. RNAcentral also lists the same sequence under 2 other names. The record is from Rfam by way of RNAcentral. Lineage: Eukaryota; Metazoa; Chordata; Actinopteri; Ambassidae.
GGCUCGUUGGUCUAGGGAUAUGAUUCUCGCUUUGGGUGCGAGAGGUCCCGGGUUCAAAUCCUGGACGAGCCC